Molecule: ribosomal RNA, 404 nt
Filed under: bacterium
Lineage: Bacteria
Description: partial 16S ribosomal RNA
Rfam family: Bacterial small subunit ribosomal RNA
Source: RNAcentral
UGGGGAAUAUUGGACAAUGGGCGAAAGCCUGAUCCAGCCAUGCCGCGUGAGUGAUGAAGGCCCUCGGGUUGUAAAGCUCUUUUAGCUGGGAAUAUAAUGACGGUACCCGCAGAAUAAGCCCCGGCUAACUUCGUGCCAGCAGCCGCGGUAAUACGAAGGGGGCUAGCGUUGCUCGGAAUCACUGGGCGUAAAGGGCGCGUAGGCAGCCAUUCAAGUCGGGGGUGAAAGCGCAGGGCUUAACCCUGGAAUUGCCUUCGAUACUGGUUGGCUAGAGACCAGAAGAGGAGAGUGGAACUGCGAGUGUAGAGGUGAAAUGCGUAGAUAUUCGCAAGAACACCAGUGGCGAAGGCGGCUUACUGGUCCGGUUCUGACGCUGAGGCGCGAAAGCGUGGGGAGCAAACAGG